CCUACGUGAGGCAGCAGUGGGGAAUAUUGGGCAAUGGGCGCAAGCCUGACCCAGCAACGCCGCGUGAAGGAAGAAGGCUUUCGGGGUGUAAACUUCUUUUGUCAGGGACGAAGCAAGUGACGGUACCUGACGAAUAAGCCACGGCUAACUACGUGCCAGCAGCCGCGGUAAUACGUAGGUGGCGAGCGUUAUUCGGAUUUAGUGGGUGUAAAGGGAGAGUAGGCGGGAAUGCAAGUCAGAUGUGAAAACUAUGGGCUCAACCCAUAGCUUGCAUUUGAAACUGGAUUUCUUGAGUACUGGAGAGGCAGUCGGAAUUCGGGGUGUAGCGGUGAAAUGCGUAGAUAUACGGAGGAACACCAGUGGCGAAGGCAGAUUGCUGGACAGUAACUGACGCUGAGGCGCGAAAGCGUGGGGAGCAAACAGGAUUAGAUACCCCAGUAGUC
RNAcentral lists this ribosomal RNA (443 nucleotides) under uncultured bacterium. RNAcentral describes it as "partial 16S ribosomal RNA". It matches the Rfam family "Bacterial small subunit ribosomal RNA", at positions 338 to 795 of the family's 1533-position model. The record is from RNAcentral.